Molecule: non-coding RNA, 3200 nt
Organism: Saimiri boliviensis boliviensis (Bolivian squirrel monkey)
Lineage: Eukaryota; Metazoa; Chordata; Mammalia; Primates; Cebidae
Source: RefSeq, a predicted model, not a curated record
UGCCCGCGCCUGGGGGGACCCUACGCCUGUGUCCGGAGGAGGCCGGCGUCCAGCAGAUGCUCGCGGGGGGGUGGGAAGUGGGGGAGGGGGCGGGAGAGAGGCGGGGAGGAGAAAACCCACAACAAAACUAGCGUCGCGGAGCGCCCUGCUUGACUUGAAUGGAAGGAGCCCGAGCCCGCGGAGCGCAGCUGAGACUAGGGGAGCGCGUUCGGCCUGCGGGGCGCGGCACGGCGCCGGGGCGCAGCAGGUUCCGUCAGCCCUGGCGCCCAGGUGCAUCUGACUUGGCGCCCCCUGCAGGCACUAUGGCCCAGAGCUGGGCGCUGCUGCUCCUGCUGCUGCUGCCGCCACAGCUGCACCUGGGACCUGUGCUUGCCGCAAGGGCCCCAGGAUUUGGCCGAAGCGGCAGCCACAGCCUGAGUCCCGAAGAGAACGAAUUUGCAGAGGAGGAGCCGGUGCUGGUCCUGAGCCCUGAGGAGCCCGUGCCUGGCCCAGCUGCGGUCAGUUGCCCUCGAGAAUGUGCCUGUUCCCAGGAGGGCGUCGUGGACUGUGGCGGCAUCGACCUGCGUGAGUUCCCCGGGGACCUGCCUGAACACACCAACCACCUGUCCCUGCAGAACAACCAGCUGGAAAAGAUCUACACUGAGGAGCUCUCCCGGCUGCACCGGCUGGAGACGCUGAACCUGCAAAACAACCGCCUGACUUCCCGAGGGCUCCCAGAGAAGGCGUUUGAGCAUCUGACCAACCUCAAUUACCUGUACUUGGCCAAUAACAAGCUGACCUUGGCACCCCGCUUCCUGCCAAACGCCCUGAUCAGUGUGGACUUUGCUGCCAACUAUCUCACCAAGAUCUAUGGGCUCACCUUUGGCCAGAAGCCAAACUUGAGGUCUGUGUACCUGCACAACAACAAGCUGGCGGACGCCGGGCUGCCGGACAACAUGUUCAACGGCUCCGGCAGCGUCGAGGUCCUCAUCCUGUCCAGCAACUUCCUGCGCCACGUGCCCAAGCACCUGCCGCCUGCCCUGUACAAGCUGCACCUCAAGAACAACAAGCUGGAGAAGAUCCCCCCGGGGGCCUUCAGUGAGCUGAGCAGCCUGCGCGAGCUGUACCUGCAGAACAACUACCUGACCGACGAGGGCCUGGACAACGAGACCUUCUGGAAGCUCUCCAGCCUGGAGUACCUGGAUCUGUCCAGCAACAACCUGUCUCGGGUCCCGGCAGGGCUGCCACGCAGCCUGGUGCUGCUGCACUUGGAGAAGAACGCCAUCCGGAGUGUGGACGCGGAUGUGCUGACCCCCAUCCGCAGCCUGGAGUACCUGCUGCUGCACAGCAACCAGCUGCGGGCGCAGGGCAUCCACCCGCUGGCCUUCCAGGGCCUCAAGCGGCUGCACACAGUGCACCUGUACAACAACGCGCUGGAGCGCGUGCCCAGCGGCCUGCCUCGCCGCGUGCGCACCCUCAUGAUCCUGCACAACCAGAUCACAGGCAUUGGCCGUGAAGACUUCGCCACCACCUACUUCCUGGAGGAGCUCAACCUCAGCUACAACCGCAUCACCAGCCCGCAGGUGCACCGCGACGCCUUCCGCAAGCUGCGCCUGCUGCGCUCACUGGACCUGUCGGGCAACCGGCUGCACACGCUGCCACCUGGGCUGCCUCGCAAUGUGCAUGUACUGAAGGUCAAGCGCAACGAGCUGGCCGCCCUGGCACGAGGGGCGCUGGCGGGCAUGGCCCAGCUGCGUGAGCUGUACCUCACCAGCAACCGACUGCGCAGCCGGGCCCUGGGCCCCCGCGCCUGGGUGGACCUCGCCGGUCUGCAGGUGGGAGUCCCUGACUCCCUUGGUCGCCCCUGCAGCUGCUGGACAUCGCCGGGAAUCAGCUCACAGAGAUCCCUCAGGGGCUCCCCGAGUCACUUGAGUACCUGUACCUGCAGAACAACAAGAUUAACUCGGUGCCCGCCAAUGCCUUCGACUCCACACCCAACCUCAAGGGGAUCUUUCUCAGGUUUAACAAGCUGGCCGUGGGCUCUGUGGUGGACAGCGCCUUCCGGAGGCUGAAACACCUGCAGGUCUUAGACAUUGAAGGCAACUUGGAGUUUGGUGAUGUUUCCAAGGACCGUGGCCGAUUGAGGAAGGAAGAGGAGGAGGAGGAAGAGGAGGAAGAGGAAGAGGAAACAAGAUAGUGACAAGGUGACGCAGAUCUGACCUAGGACGAUGGACCGCUGGACUCCUUGCUGCAGCGCACGCCUGUGCCCGAGAGCCCCCCACUCUGCCGUGCUCACAUGGAUACACCCAGCUGCAAGCAUGGGGCAUCCCGCACGAUGCAGGCCGACCCAAUCUCAUAUUCCCACCCCUCCCACAGCAUGUCCCACGGCCAGACGUGUGCAGACAGCACAUCACACCCUCACACGCCCAGCUUAGCCACACAGCCAGUUACACAUUGCCCUCCAAACCACUAGUCUCUGCCCCACACCCACUACUGCUGCCAUGCCCUCUCAAUCAUUCAGGGAAGGGUCUACCCCUGCCCUGGCACACACAGGCACCCGCUGCCUCCUGCUGCUGACGUGUAUGCGUGUGCUACACCACACACACACACACACACACAAUCAUGUGCAAACAGCCCUCCAAAGCCUGUGCCACAGACAGCUCUUGUCCCAGCCAGAACAAGCCAUAGCAGCUCACUGUCUGCCCCGUCCACCUGUCCGUCCAUUCCCUGGAGAAGACACAAGGAUAUCUCCAUGCUCUGUGGCCAGGUGCCUGCCAUCCUCUGGAACUCACAAAAGCUGUUUUUUUUUUCCUUUCCCACUCUUUGGGGACAGCAACCUUCAGGACUGCUGGCCUGGCCCGGCCCAUGCUGCUUCUGCCGGUGCUGGGCAGUCACUCUGCGAAGAGCCCUCCCCCAGCCAUGCCCUGGCAGGACACAGGCACUUUUCCGAUGGGCAAGCCCCAUGAAGGCAGGACGGGGGGCCCCCUGUGGGUGCUGCUGGGGCCUUGGGGCAGGAGUGAGGUGGAGGUGAUGGGGUUGGGCUGAGCUGGAAGGCGUGGGAAGGGCCCAGCUGCACCCAGGAGACAGCUUUGUUCUUCAGGCCUGUGGGGGAAGUUCCGGUGCCUUUGUUUUUUAUUCUUUUCUAAGGAAAAAAAUGAUAAAAAUCUCAAAGCUGAUUUUUCUUGUUAUAGAAAAACUAAUAUAAAAGCAUUAUCCCUGUC